UCAGUGAGUUUGUUGGAAAUUUCAUAUUAGUGAGAGAUAUGAUUAAAUUGUAAUAUAUAAGUAGAUAGAAGUUUUUCUAAGAUUGAAUUGGGUCUGAAUCCACCUUUUAAGAGAAAUAAUUACGGGAACUAUGUUCUAAUUUAUUCAAUAUGUAGUUAUUCUCUUAAAUUGUUUGUUUUGUACUUUGAAAUGAUAAAAUGAUUGAAGAUGUCCAUAUGAACAGAACCAAUACAAAAUGACUAAGCUAUUUUUCUCAUUCUACAGGGAUUGGAAACCAGUGAGUCUUGUGAUGUUUUUCUCCCCAGUGACAAUUAUCCUUAUUGGUUGGCUUAUAUGUCUGAGGAAGACUCAGUCUUUUUCACUGUGCCUGAAAAUUUUAACAUUGAUGGAAUGAUUUUGUGUGUUGUGUAUUUAUCAACCCUUGAAAACACAACAACUGAAUGUCUUAUUAGUGUCUUAAUGGUUAAUUACACAAAGUGCACAAUCCAGUUACUCAAGGGAGACCCGACAAUUUCCUUUAAUGAUGUAGAUUGGCAGGGCUUGAUAUCACAUUUGGUAUGUGGAGACAAGGUGGGGAUUUUUGUUAUUUUUGCAGAUGGAUUUGUAGUCGAGAAGACAGCUGUCUAUCUAAUGUGUGAUGGAUCAAUUGACAAGGAAUGAUACGAAGGUAAAAACGAAUAAUGAUCUGGAAAAAGUAAGAGUGGGAGGUCCCGUCGGACAAAUAGACGACAAAUAAUUAGUUAGAGGUGGGGAACCGAUGCCCUAGAGAUCCAUAUGUGGGACUACGUAGGAGUGAAAGGUAAAGAAAAUGAGAUCUUACAGAGUAUUGGCCAAAUUAAGAUAUAAUUGAGGAGAGUGAAGGCUUCUGGUCAAGAUUGUACUCAUCCUCUCUUAUUGGCAGUUUCAUCCUUUUCCUUAACAUAUUCUGUUUCUUUAUACUCAAUAUGGUCAUUUAAGAAUAUAACUUCCUUUCUUAUUGUAUGAAAUCCACUUUUAUUUAUAACAAAGUACAAAUAGUUUAUUUUCAUGGGUGAGAACAGCUAGCAUCUGGGCUCGCCAGAUAGCAAAGCUGAUUUUACCAUCAAAUUUCUCAAUAUCCAAUUUUGACAUUAUUGAACAACAGAUCCUGGUUGAAUUAUCGAAAAGCUCUGAUGCCAAUUUGUAGGGAUAUUGUGUGCGGAAGCGUAAUUAUUUAGAAAUAGAAGUUUUCAGCCAAGUUGUUGUUCCUGUAGGGAUAUUGUGUGCGGAAGCGUGGAAAACCCCGUUAAAUAGAGGUAAAGAACCACCGGCGAGAGAGCCAAAACUUCCACUAUAAUGGUACUGGGAGUACAAUAAAUUCCUCUCAGGCUAAUAGAUAAAUAGCCCCAAAACAAAUUCUCUCUAUAUGGGUUAAACACUUACAUCCAAAAGCAGAAAUAGAGAGUAUGGAAAAGAGAGAGGAAGCAAGUGUGCGUAUGUUGUGUCUUACAUAUAUAUAGUGGUUCUAGGAGACAACAAUAAUAAAUACAAUUAAUGGUAAUUAACCUCCCAUUGAUUGCAAUUGAUUGCGGUAAUUAACCUCUCAUUGAUUGCAAUUGAUUGUAGCAAUUAACCUCCCUCCCUUUAAUAACAAUUAAUUGUCAACGGUAAGUCAUAACCCACAAAUCUCCACCUUGACUUGCCUUUGACUGGAACACUCUCUCGCCAUGAAGCCUUGAUUAAGUAUGGAUAAUCAGUAGUAAGCUCAAAAAGCAUUGGAUAUAUACAUCUACACGGAAAUAAAGGAUUAUCAUUUGCUGUUUUACGUUCUAUCAUUUCGUCUUGGAUGUCACAUACUGUUGAUCCCCUGUCUCGUAUUCGUCCGUUUCGUGGCAUUUCAUCAUCUGAAGUUUUCAUGAAUAUCAAGAAUAAUAAUUUGGGUGAUCUAGCACCAAUCGUUAGCAGCAUUUUAAAUCUGCGUAAUGUUUCGGUGCAAUGUGUCACGGAGUGUCAAACAUCGGAACAAUUAAGAACAAUUUUGGAGGAAGUUCGUGUUGUAAGUUUGACUACAUUGAAAAUAAGACCAUCUACACCAGAAAUUUCAAAGCAUCCCUCAAGACCAUAUUGGAUUGGACUUGGAAGUUAUCAAGAAGAAGUCUUCGAUACUCUCCGCAAGAGCACAUUUGAGGUUCCUUCUCUUUUUCUCUUUGUCUACUUACUUUUACUGUUCAUUUUAGCUGUUAAUUUUAAGACCAUGAAACAUUCCCGUAAAAAAAAUUCAAAGUAACUUCAAUCCUAACAUUCUUUUAGCACCUUCCCCUUCUAUAACCACCUUGCUUUAUUUAAAAAAUACCUUUUUCUAAUUCUCAACAAGCCGAGUGAUGAUGCUAAGCACUAGGAAGUUGAUUUCCAUUUUGGGCUUGCAAUGCUUGCUUCAUACUGGUUACAUUCUCAAAGAUCAUAAAUAAUUAUUUAUGUGUUGAAAGAUCUGUAUGUAAACAUAAUGGGCUGAUUUAUACACAACAAAACUAUUAAACCAAAUUUAUCGUUGAAAAUCUUAUAUAAAAUAGAGGUAUGACAAAAUUAUAGUAUAUAAGUAAAUUCAAAACUUAUAUUACAAGUUGAUAUUAUAAGAUUGAGUUAAGUCUGCUGGACUUGCUAUCAUAUAAUUAUCGAAUCAUCUAUAAAUAUUCAGCUUUAUACUUGAGAUAAGUGGUCAUCGAUGUAAAUGAGUGUGUUGGAAAUCUCAUAUUGAUUAGAAAUAUGAUUAAAUUGUAAUAUAUAAGUAGAUAUAAGUUUGAAUUGAGUUCCUUCUAAGAGAACUAAUUACGGGAGCUAUGUUCUAAUUUAUUCAAGUUAUUUUCUUAAAUUGUUUGUUUGUACUUUGAAAUGAUAAAAUGAUUGAAGAAGUCCAUAUGAACAGAACCAAUACAAAAUGACUAAGCUAUUUUUCUCCUGCUACAGGGAUUGGAAACCAGCGAGUCUUGUGAUGUUUUUCUCCCUAGUGACAACUAUCCUUAUUGGUCGGCUUAUAUGGCUGAGGGAGACUCAGUCUGUUUCACUGUGCCUGAAAAUUUUAACUUUGAGGGAAUGAUUUUGUGUGCUAUGUAUUUAUCAACCCUUGAAAAGACAACAACUGAAUGUCUUACUAGUGUCUUAAUGGUUAAUUACACAAAGUGCACAAUCCAGUUAUUCAGAGGAGACACAAUAAUUUCCUUUAAUGAUGUAGAUUGGCAGGGCUUGAUAUCACAUUUGGUAUGUGGAGACAAGGUGGGGAUUUUUGUUAUUUUUGCUGAUGGAUUUGUAGUCCAGAAGACAGCUGUCUAUCUAAUGCGUGAUAGAUCAAUUGACAAGGAAAUGGAA
This 3321-nucleotide long non-coding RNA is filed under the name Phaseolus vulgaris (common bean). RNAcentral's name for it is "long non-coding RNA (PVUL_LNC000515)". Lineage: Eukaryota; Viridiplantae; Streptophyta; Magnoliopsida; Fabales; Fabaceae. The record is from RNAcentral.